AGUCAUGUCUAAGCUAAAUCUCAAAGCUGAACCAGGGCUUACCACUGCUUACUCAUUAGCCCCAGGAUCGCAGCAGUGGCAGAUACCCUCCGUGUCCCACACACACCCUAGGAUCCCAGCCUGAAAGCCGCUGUACCCUGGGUGCAAGGUUCCCAAGCACAAGCACCUCUCUCCUGAAGCACCUGUGUGUGCGUCUCAGCCCAGGCGAGCUACAGGCCGGAAAUGCCAGACAAGGAGCAGCUUUAAAACCGUGGCCUCAUGGAAAGGCAGAAUGG
Long non-coding RNA from Cavia porcellus (domestic guinea pig), 275 nucleotides. RefSeq lists it as uncharacterized. NCBI's taxonomy places the organism in Eukaryota, Metazoa, Chordata, Mammalia, Rodentia, Caviidae. The transcript is spliced from 2 exons. The record is from RefSeq and is a predicted model, not a curated record.